This 1684-nucleotide ribosomal RNA is filed under the name Salmonella enterica subsp. enterica serovar Typhimurium. RNAcentral describes it as "partial 23S ribosomal RNA". It matches the Rfam family "Bacterial large subunit ribosomal RNA", at positions 1163 to 2803 of the family's 2925-position model. The record is from RNAcentral. Lineage: Bacteria; Pseudomonadati; Pseudomonadota; Gammaproteobacteria; Enterobacterales; Enterobacteriaceae. RNAcentral also lists the same sequence under 1 other name.
CAAGACAACUUUACGGAGUUGACGAUUGACGGAGCGAAGCGACGUCAAAGCGUUCAUUAAAGUCGAGUUGGCUUAGGGAUACGUUCGUUGGGUAGGGGAGCGUUCUGUAAGCCUGUGAAGGUGUGUCGUGAGGCAUGCUGGAGGUAUCAGAAGUGCGAAUGCUGACAUAAGUAACGAUAAAGCGGGUGAAAAGCCCGCUCGCCGGAAGACCAAGGGUUCCUGUCCAACGUUAAUCGGGGCAGGGUGAGUCGACCCCUAAGGCGAGGCCGAAAGGCGUAGUCGAUGGGAAACGGGUUAAUAUUCCCGUACUUGGUGUUACUGCGAAGGGGGGACGGAGAAGGCUAUGUUGGCCGGGCGACGGUUGUCCCGGUUUAAGCGUGUAGGUGUGUGUUCCAGGUAAAUCCGGUUCACUUUAACACUGAGGCGUGAUGACGAGGCACUACGGUGCUGAAGCAACAAAUGCCCUGCUUCCAGGAAAAGCCUCUAAGCAUCAGGUAACAUCAAAUCGUACCCCAAACCGACACAGGUGGUCAGGUAGAGAAUACCAAGGCGCUUGAGAGAACUCGGGUGAAGGAACUAGGCAAAAUGGUGCCGUAACUUCGGGAGAAGGCACGCUGACACGUAGGUGAAGUGAUUUACUCACGGAGCUGAAGUCAGUCGAAGAUACCAGCUGGCUGCAACUGUUUAUUAAAAACACAGCACUGUGCAAACACGAAAGUGGACGUAUACGGUGUGACGCCUGCCCGGUGCCGGAAGGUUAAUUGAUGGGGUCAGCGCAAGCGAAGCUCCUGAUCGAAGCCCCGGUAAACGGCGGCCGUAACUAUAACGGUCCUAAGGUAGCGAAAUUCCUUGUCGGGUAAGUUCCGACCUGCACGAAUGGCGUAAUGAUGGCCAGGCUGUCUCCACCCGAGACUCAGUGAAAUUGAACUCGCUGUGAAGAUGCAGUGUACCCGCGGCAAGACGGAAAGACCCCGUGAACCUUUACUAUAGCUUGACACUGAACAUUGAGCCUUGAUGUGUAGGAUAGGUGGGAGGCUUUGAAGUGUGGACGCCAGUCUGCAUGGAGCCGACCUUGAAAUACCACCCUUUAAUGUUUGAUGUUCUAACGUGGACCCGUAAUCCGGGUUGCGGACAGUGUCUGGUGGGUAGUUUGACUGGGGCGGUCUCCUCCUAAAGAGUAACGGAGGAGCACGAAGGUUGGCUAAUCCUGGUCGGACAUCAGGAGGUUAGUGCAAUGGCAUAAGCCAGCUUGACUGCGAGCGUGACGGCGCGAGCAGGUGCGAAAGCAGGUCAUAGUGAUCCGGUGGUUCUGAAUGGAAGGGCCAUCGCUCAACGGAUAAAAGGUACUCCGGGGAUAACAGGCUGAUACCGCCCAAGAGUUCAUAUCGACGGCGGUGUUUGGCACCUCGAUGUCGGCUCAUCACAUCCUGGGGCUGAAGUAGGUCCCAAGGGUAUGGCUGUUCGCCAUUUAAAGUGGUACGCGAGCUGGGUUUAGAACGUCGUGAGACAGUUCGGUCCCUAUCUGCCGUGGGCGCUGGAGAACUGAGGGGGGCUGCUCCUAGUACGAGAGGACCGGAGUGGACGCAUCACUGGUGUUCGGGUUGUCAUGCCAAUGGCACUGCCCGGUAGCUAAAUGCGGAAGAGAUAAGUGCUGAAAGCAUCUAAGCACGAAACUUGCCCCGAG